GAUCUCCCAAGAUAUUUCACCAAACCUCCUUUGAAGCUUUGAGGAGUGCUAUGCUAGAAUGGUGGCUGUCAUCUCCAUGAUUUCUGCAUGUUUGCCAAUAUAGAAUCAAAUCAAGCCUGAAUCUAAUGAAUUUUGCAAUAUGCAGGCACUCAUUGUACUUAUCCUAAAUGAAAUUUCUAUUGCAAUUGUGCACCUCGUUCUGUAUGAGGAAAUUAGAGUACCUGGAAAUAUUCUUUGAUUUCUUUUGCAUGGAUUUGGCUCAAUUUUAUUCUUUUGAACAGAGAAUUGACUUAUAGUGAGCUACAUCUGAUUAGUUUCUAGAUCUUGCAUUACUGGUAGGCUGGAGACUUUUGUGCAGUCUGAUUUACAUUUUGGUGGUAGUCUAGAACAUAUGUUUGACCAACUUCGUAUUUGGCUUGUAGUCUGAUCUCAGGCUUUGGAUUUCUUAAGGUUUCUCUGGCCUCUGAAAGGAGGCGAUGUUAAAGGACCUGGUGAACUCUAUUCUAGCUUCUAUUGUUAGUCUGACCAUGCAUAGCGGGAUAAAGUCUUAUGUUGUUUCUGUUAAGGUGUUGCAUGUAAGUAAGCCACUUGUUUUUUGAUUGUCAUUGAACAAUUGCAUACUGCCUGUUCUUUUUCAACUGUCUUCAUAAAGAGACUAUUUUUGGAAUCAUUCUUUGGAUGACAGAAAUUUCUUGAUUUAUAUUCAAUUGUAUUCUUUACAUGUUUCUGCUCUUUGUAAUCAUCAAAAUCUGCCAUUUUUGACAUUCUUCCAGGAUUUGAUUUCAAAUUUAUGCAUGACUGGUACUAUUCUUCUGUCCGUAUGAAUUGCAUUAAGCUGGUGUUUAAUGUUAUAUCUAUGGAUGAAGCCUUUCUUAUGGGACAAAAUGGAGUCUUUGUAUCUCUAAUGUUAGUUAAGACUGGCCUUGAUUGUUCCUAUCAUGAUCAUUGGCCUUGAUAGUGCUAAAAUUUUGUUGAAUGAUUUUUGUUAAAACGUCUAUAAAAACCUAUAUGGUUAUUGAUUAUAACAACAUUGUUGUUGGGCAUGUUGCCAAUGUUUUGUUUUAUUUUAUUUUAUUUUGAUAAUCAUUUUAUUUUAUUUUUGUUUCAUAUACAGUGUAUUAUAUAUCUAGCAUGUGA
This is a long non-coding RNA of Diospyros lotus (date-plum), 1137 nucleotides long. RefSeq lists it as uncharacterized. The record is from RefSeq and is a predicted model, not a curated record. The transcript has 2 exons. NCBI's taxonomy places the organism in Eukaryota, Viridiplantae, Streptophyta, Magnoliopsida, Ericales, Ebenaceae.